UGAUGAGUGGCCUCUGUGAUGGUGCCAUCUAUGGUGGGUACAACUGCGGUGGCAGUGCUAGUGCUAGUGGCUGUGGUAUUGGCUGCUUGAAUUCUCUCCAUUAAUCUCGGCAUCCAUAGGUAUCGCAUGGUGUCUUUGAAUUGCUUGCUAUUCACGUCACAUUUAAGCUGCUUAGCGUGCUUUUGGACACGGGUUCUCCAGUAGUUCUUGAUUUCAUUGUCGGUUCUUCCUGGCAAGUGUUGCGCGAUCUUGGACCAUCGAUUGCCCCAUCGUGAAUGAAGCUCGAGGAUCAUGAGUUGUUCUUCGAGGGUGAUAUUACCACGUCGAACGUCAGGUCUUAAGUAGUUGAGCCAUCUUAAUCUGCAGCUCUUUCCGGUUCGUUUAAGGCCUGCGCAGCGAGCGAGGGAGUUCCAGCGACCCUCUCCGUAAGCAGCAAUGUAAUUGAUGAGCUUGAAGUCUUCUUCAGCAGUCCAAGGACCUCUUCUUAAGUCACCCAUCUCCUCUUCACUUUGUGUGGUGGAGGAGGAGGAAGAGGAGGAGCUAUUCUUGUGGUUGCUGUUUCUGCCUUUAACAUCCAUCAUUCCAAAUUCCUCUAAAUGGAGAGACUGAUUGAUUGAAGGAGGAAAAUAGGAAAAGGAGAGAAAAAUU
This 648-nucleotide unclassified non-coding RNA is filed under the name Hevea brasiliensis (rubber tree). The record is from RNAcentral. Lineage: Eukaryota; Viridiplantae; Streptophyta; Magnoliopsida; Malpighiales; Euphorbiaceae.